AGUGGCNAACGGGUGAGUAACACGUGGGCAAUCUGCCCUGUACUUUGGGAUAAACCUGGGAAACUGGGUCUAAUACCGGAUAUGACCGAGCCUCGCAUGGGGUUUGGUGGAAAGCUCCGGCGGUACGGGAUGAGCCCGCGGCCUAUCAGCUUGUUGGUGGGGUAAUGGCCUACCAAGGCGACGACGGGUAGCCGGCCUGAGAGGGUGACCGGCCACACUGGGACUGAGACACGGCCCAGACUCCUACGGGAGGCAGCAGUGGGGAAUAUUGCACAAUGGGCGCAAGCCUGAUGCAGCGACGCCGCGUGAGGGAUGACGGCCUUCGGGUUGUAAACCUCUUUCGCCAGGGACGAAGCGCAAGUGACGGUACCUGGAUAAGAAGCACCGGCUAACUACGUGCCAGCAGCCGCGGUAAUACGUAGGGUGCGAGCGUUGUCCGGAAUUAUUGGGCGUAAAGAGCUCGUAGGCGGUUUGUUGCGUCGUUCGUGAAAACUCCACGCUUAACGUGGAGCGUGCGGGCGAUACGGGCAGACUUGAGUUCGGUAGGGGAGACUGGAAUUCCUGGUGUAGCGGUGAAAUGCGCAGAUAUCAGGAGGAACACCGGUGGCGAANGCGGGUCUCUGGGCCGAUACUGACGCUGANGAGCGAAAGCGUGGGGAGCGAACAGGAUUAGAUACCCUGGUAGUCCACGCUGUAAACGUUGGGCGCUAGGUGUGGGCGACAUCCACGUUGUCCGUGCCGUANCUAACGCAUUAAGCGCCCCGCCUGGGGAGUACGGCCGCAAGGCUAAAACUCAAAAGNAUUGACGGGGGCCCGCACAAGCGGCGGANCAUGUGGAUU
Molecule: ribosomal RNA, 840 nt
Filed under: uncultured Amycolatopsis sp.
Lineage: Bacteria; Bacillati; Actinomycetota; Actinomycetes; Pseudonocardiales; Pseudonocardiaceae
Description: bacterial SSU rRNA
Rfam family: Bacterial small subunit ribosomal RNA
Source: RNAcentral